This 907-nucleotide ribosomal RNA is filed under the name Pediococcus pentosaceus. RNAcentral describes it as "bacterial SSU rRNA". It matches the Rfam family "Bacterial small subunit ribosomal RNA", at positions 50 to 912 of the family's 1533-position model. Lineage: Bacteria; Bacillati; Bacillota; Bacilli; Lactobacillales; Lactobacillaceae. The record is from RNAcentral.
UAUACAUGCAGUCGAACGAACUUCCGUUAAUUGAUUAUGACGUACUUGUACUGAUUGAGAUUUUAACACGAAGUGAGUGGCGAACGGGUGAGUAACACGUGGGUAACCUGCCCAGAAGUAGGGGAUAACACCUGGAAACAGAUGCUAAUACCGUAUAACAGAGAAAACCGCAUGGUUUUCUUUUAAAAGAUGGCUCUGCUAUCACUUUUGGAUGGACCCGCGGCGUAUUAGCUAGUUGGUGAGGUAAAGGCUCACCAAGGCAGUGAUACGUAGCCGACCUGAGAGGGUAAUCGGCCACAUUGGGACUGAGACACGGCCCAGACUCCUACGGGAGGCAGCAGUAGGGAAUCUUCCACAAUGGACGCAAGUCUGAUGGAGCAACGCCGCGUGAGUGAAGAAGGGUUUCGGCUCGUAAAGCUCUGUUGUUAAAGAAGAACGUGGGUAAGAGUAACUGUUUACCCAGUGACGGUAUUUAACCAGAAAGCCACGGCUAACUACGUGCCAGCAGCCGCGGUAAUACGUAGGUGGCAAGCGUUAUCCGGAUUUAUUGGGCGUAAAGCGAGCGCAGGCGGUCUUUUAAGUCUAAUGUGAAAGCCUUCGGCUCAACCGAAGAAGUGCAUUGGAAACUGGGAGACUUGAGUGCAGAAGAGGACAGUGGAACUCCAUGUGUAGCGGUGAAAUGCGUAGAUAUAUGGAAGAACACCAGUGGCGAAGGCGGCUGUCUGGUCUGCAACUGACGCUGAGGCUCGAAAGCAUGGGUAGCGAACAGGAUUAGAUACCCUGGUAGUCCAUGCCGUAAACGAUGAUUACUAAGUGUUGGAGGGUUUCCGCCCUUCAGUGCUGCAGCUAACGCAUUAAGUAAUCCGCCUGGGGAGUACGACCGCAAGGUUGAAACUCAAAAGAAUUU